RNAcentral lists this ribosomal RNA (253 nucleotides) under uncultured bacterium. Its description in RNAcentral is "partial 16S ribosomal RNA". It matches the Rfam family "Bacterial small subunit ribosomal RNA", at positions 524 to 776 of the family's 1533-position model. The record is from RNAcentral.
UACGUAGGGUGCAAGCGUUAAUCGGAAUUACUGGGCGUAAAGCGUGCGCAGGCGGUUUUGUAAGUUUGGCGUGAAAUCCCCGGGCUCAACCUGGGAAUGGCGAUGAAGACUGCAAGGCUAGAAUCUGGCAGAGGGGGGUAGAAUUCCACGUGUAGCAGUGAAAUGCGUAGAGAUGUGGAGGAACACCGAUGGCGAAGGCAGCCCCCUGGGUCAAGAUUGACGCUCAUGCACGAAAGCGUGGGGAGCAAACAGG